AAUCCAUGGUAUGGGUAUUGCGAUAAAAGUGAUUUGAAGCGAUUCCAUACUUCAUGAAAAGAUUCAGUAUUCUUUUGAUAAAAAUUAGUAAUUCAGCUUUCAAUUCC
This is a non-coding RNA of Ricinus communis (castor bean), 107 nucleotides long. The record is from Rfam. Lineage: Eukaryota; Viridiplantae; Streptophyta; Magnoliopsida; Malpighiales; Euphorbiaceae.